GACGAACGCUGGCGGCGUGCUUAACACAUGCAAGUCGAACGGUAAGGCCCUUCGGGGUACACGAGUGGCGAGCGGGUGAGUAACACGUGGGUGAUCUGCCCUGCACUUCGGGAUAAGCCUGGGAAACUGGGUCUAACACCGGAUAGGACCACUGCCUGCAUGGGUGGUGGUGGAAAGCUUUUGCGGGGUGGGAUGGGCCCGCGGCCUAUCAGCUUGUUGGUGGGGUGAUGGCCUACCAAGGCGACGACGGGUAGCCGGCCUGAGAGGGUGACCGGCCACACUGGGACUGAGAUACGGCCCAGACUCCUACGGGAGGCAGCAGUGGGGAAUAUUGCACAAUGGGCGCAAGCCUGAUGCAGCGACGCCGCGUGAGGGAUGACGGCCUUCGGGUUGUAAACCUCUUUCAGCACCGACGAAGCGCAAGUGACGGUAGGUGCAGAAGAAGGACCGGUCAACUACGUGCCAGCCGCCGCCGUAA
RNAcentral lists this ribosomal RNA (478 nucleotides) under uncultured bacterium. RNAcentral's name for it is "partial 16S ribosomal RNA". It matches the Rfam family "Bacterial small subunit ribosomal RNA", at positions 28 to 523 of the family's 1533-position model. The record is from RNAcentral.